CUGUCCUAGGCUUCUCCACUACCCAACAGUUGAACUGGCUAGCAAAUCACCACCCUCGGGUCCUCUACCACCCUCUGGUUGGACAGGUCUUUCACCAUCCUCAACUCCUCCACUGCCAUUCAGAUGGGAUGGAAAGACAAACAUCACCCUCAGUUGGACUGCCGGACCGAUCAUCACCAUUCUAACUGAAGUCACCAAGAGCAGCCAGUUGAGCUUUCACCACCCGGCUCCUCCACCACCAUCCUGUUGGACUGCCAGUCAUUCACCACCCUCAGCUCCUCCAACGCCUUCCUGUUCAAAUGCUGGGCCCUUCACACACUCGACUCCUCAACUGCUCUGCAGGUGGACUGACUGGUCCUGACUGUCCUAGGCUUCUCCACUACCCAACAGUUGAACUGGCUAGCAAAUCACCACCCUCGGGUCCUCCACCACCCUCUGGUUGGACAGGUCUUUCACCAUCCUCAACUCCUCCACUGCCAUUCAGAUGGGAUGGAAAGACAAACAUCACCCUCAGUUGGACUGCCGGACCGAUCAUCACCAUUCUAACUGAAGCGUUCUCCUCCAUGAAUGUUGUGGUGAUCUCUUGUAAAUCCAGGGGUCCCCACUGUAGUUCCCUCUCUGAUGCCCUUCAGCGAAGU
Ochotona princeps (American pika) is the source of this 638-nucleotide long non-coding RNA. RefSeq lists it as uncharacterized. Lineage: Eukaryota; Metazoa; Chordata; Mammalia; Lagomorpha; Ochotonidae. The record is from RefSeq and is a predicted model, not a curated record. The transcript is spliced from 5 exons.